Molecule: long non-coding RNA, 280 nt
Filed under: Elaeis guineensis (African oil palm)
Lineage: Eukaryota; Viridiplantae; Streptophyta; Magnoliopsida; Arecales; Arecaceae
Description: long non-coding RNA (EGUI_LNC001481)
Source: RNAcentral
GGUCAUAACACCGUGUAUCUUCUUGCGGUGAGCUGCGAAUCAUCUGGCAGCAAAGUCCUUCGGAACCGCUGGUCUCUCUGGCGGUUUGUCGCUGGUCUCUCUGGCGACGUAAAUCCUCAGGACAAAUCAAUUGCCAACGUGUAUGUCCCCAUUGGCAGGGUCCUUAACAUAGUCAGAUUGUCAAUUCAUAAUGUUUCUUAUAUCAUAAUUCUUCAUAAAUCAUAUUUCAUAUUCUAAUUUCGAUAAUAAAAUAUAUAAUCAUGUAGUAUCGAAAUCAAUC